UUAAUUUAAGUGCUAAAAACUUGAAGUGCUGAAUUUUAGUACUUAUAUGCAUAUUGAAAGAUCUGUUUGGUAAUUUGUCUGAAAAAGGUCCUGAUAUAGGAAAAUAAGCCACCCCCCCACAAAAACUUGUUUGGUAAACACAAAUCACAAAUGUAUGAAAAUUGGCAAUUUGUAAUAUUUGCCCCUAUUGUCUCAAUUUCUAUAUUUUGUAGAGUAUAAGACAAAACCUAUUAUUGCUAUGCCAUCAAAAUUGGCACCUAUGCCCUAACCAAUAAAUUUUUUUGAGAUUUUAUCCAAUAAAAUUUUAAUACUUUCCCCACCAAAUAAGGCCAAGUAGAUGAACGGUCUGGAUCUUUUUUGUUUGCCACGUGCAGUAACAUGAAUUGAUAUUGGUUGGAUGAUUUUAAUCCAUCAACUUUGCCCAUUGAUAUUGUACCCUAACCAAUUUAGUUUUGGCCAUCCAUUUGACACCCACAAAUUGAAUUGUUAGAUCUCUAGAUGACCUUGAUUUUGAGGCUAUGAUCCAUUUACAACGGGAUCCAUAGCUUAGGUGGUUUGGACAAACAUCCAUCUAUGUAAUGCAAUGUGUAUGAUAGAUGAGUCGCCACCAUUUUAAACAUCGUGACAAAUUCUCAUAGUCUUCAACGAACGCGGAUUAGCUACUACCUUGAAUCCAACUAGGUGGUGUGACCCUAAUUGCGGGGCCCAUCUCAAUGUAUGUGUUGUAUAUCCACGUCGUCCAUCUGUUUGCUAGCUCAUUUUAGGGUGUGGGCCCAAAAAUGAACCAGAUCCAAAUCUCAGGUGGACCACACCACAAGAAGAAAUGGUGACUGACCAUUAAUUUUUUUUCUUGUGGGCCACAAAAAGUUUUGGAUGAAGCUAAUAUUUGUGUUUUCCCUUCAACCAGGUCUAUGUGACCUCAUCAACAUGUUGGAUGGAAAAUAAACAGUACGGUGAACCCUAUGAAGUUUUUGAUGGUGGGCAUUCAAUGACCGUUGUGUCCUGUGGUGUGGUCCACUUGAGAUUUGCAUCUGCUUCAUUUUUUGGACCAUGCGCUAAAAUAAACUCGAAAAAUAAAUGGAUGACAUGGAUAUACAACACAUACAUCGAGACGGGCCCUGCAGUCAGGUUCGCAUCCACCCAGUUGGAUUGGGGUCGUAGUGAAUUUAUGUUCUUGUUCAACAUGGGAGCAUAUUAGGUGUUACCCAGUAACACGCGAGUGGGUGUUGCCUUGUGGGACCCACCUUGAUUGUAUAUCCACGUUGUUACAACUCUUUUUAUGCCAUGGUCCCCAAAAUGAUGCAGAUCCAAAUCUAUAGUGGACCAAACAAUGGGAUUGAAUACCCACCAUUAAAAACUUUUUGUGGGCCACAAAAGUUUUGGAUCAAUCUAAUAUUUGUUGUUCCAUUCAUCCACAAGUGUGUGACCUUAUCAACAGGUUGGAUGGCAAAUAAACAUUACUGUGGGCCCUAGGAAGUUUUUAAUGGUGGGCGUUCAUGAUCACUGUUUCAUGUGGUGUGGUCCACUUGAGAUUUGGAUCUGCUUCACUUUUGGGACCAUGGCCUAAAAUGAGUUAUAAAAACUAAUGGACGGUGUGGAUAUACAACACACAUCAAGGUGGGCCCCAUGGUCAGGGCAACACCCACUAAUGUGUUACCCGGGUAAAACCUAACUGGUUCCACUUCAACCACCGGUUUUGGUGGACUUGGAUUGCUUGGUGUAGAACAAUAACCUAGGUUGGUGUCGUGUAGGCGUGGCAAAGUUCUAUGGAUCAUUUGUGCGACCAUGCCCUAAAAGGAAUUGGCAAAACAGAUGGACAACAUAGAUUUGCAACGCAUACAUCGAGGUGGGCCCCUCGUUCAAGGCCUCACCCAGUAGUGUAGCACAAACCACAAAGUUGAUGUGGCAAAGUUUUGUGGGCCCUGCCUUGAUGUAUGUGUUAUAUUCACAUCAUCCAUCCAUUUUUCUAGAUUAUUUUAGGGCAUGAGUCCAAAAAUGAGGCAAAUCCAAAGCUCAAGUGGAUCACACCACAAAAAAUAGUGGGGAUUGAACACCGACCAUUGAAAACUUCAUAGGGGCCACAAAAGUUUUGGGUCAAGCUGAUAUUUGUGUUUUCCCUUCAUCUAGGUCUGUGUGACCCUAUGAAUAGGUUGGAUGGCAAAUAAACAUCAUGGUGGGCCUUAGGAAGGUUUCAAUGGUGGGCGUCAUUGUCUCCACUGCUUUCCGUGGUGUAGUCCAUUUGAGCUUUGGAUCUGCCUCAUAUUUGGCCUCAUGCCCUAAAAUUACCUAGCAAAAUGGGUGGACCAUGUGGAUGUAACAAAUACAUCAUAGUGGGGCCCACAAAACUCUGCCAUGUCAACACUACAUAAUCCGAGUCCCACCUAAUUCGGGCCCUAAAAAAAUUGUACAUGAGGAAUGUAUUAAUUCAAAAUUAAUUAGUUAGGUUAUAGACCAUUGUUGUUAAAUCACAAUCCCAAAAUCAAAUUACUACAAGUCUCUAGAGUCAAAACGUUGAAAUGAAAUGUAUGCAAGUUGCGUGGUAUGUAAUACACAAAUAUUGUAAAUAAUAGUAAAACCUACAAAUGCGAUAUGUUUUGGUAGUACGUUUAUCCUAAUAAAUUUCAUAUUAAUAUUAUAUAGUUAGAAAAUUAAAUAUAUAAAGUUGGUAGUCAAUCCUAGGUUGCUAGGUUCAUAAAUUCAUCAGACAUCUCGAUACAACAUUCUCCCCAAAGACUGGUCUGUUACACUACUAUGAACGAGGGCGACUAGGGGAAAGGCUAGACGAUUGAAUCUCCUCCUCCUCUGCUACAGGUCAAAGGUCUCCCUGUUUAAAAUUAUAAAUGAAUGCAUAUUUAGAACAUUUACAAUUUUCUAGAUUUUUUGGAGCAACAAAAAAAAUAAAAAAAAUCAACUGAUACAGGGGCAUAUCAGCCGUUACACCAGUUCAGUGUAUCGGUAACAGUGGGCACUGUUACCACUAUGGAACGCCUUGCACAGGACUUUGUGACGUCAACAUGGAAUGCUUUCAAACCUUGAACGGGAGUCACUUAGAAAAGGGUGAAGGUGUCAUUUAGAAAAAAAAUUAAGGAUAUUUUAUCAAAAUAACCAAAAAUUUUAAUGCAAAAUCACUUACUGCAUUCUGUGUUAAGUCAAGGGAGGAAAGCUUUUAAAAAACCAUUUUUUCAUUGAAAUUCUAAAUUAAGCACUUAAUUUUUUGGAGUUAAAAGCCCAGCCCCACAUGCCAUUGUCUCUCAUUAGCUAGAUUUCUUUUUAUUCGUAGUUGGUUCUAAGGGCGGCAUAAUUGGAGUGGGUUAUAGUUAAAUUACGUAACAGGCACGUGCAAAGUUGUCCACCUAAAUCGAAAUACCUGUGUUACUGAAAUAGAACAAUAAAACUACAUAUGGUCAUGGUUCAUUUUCUAUGGACUUUGCUUUACUUUAGGUUCGUCAGGAAGUUUUUCUCUCUGCAUCAAUUAUUUAUUUAUU
This is a long non-coding RNA of Magnolia sinica, 3485 nucleotides long. RefSeq lists it as uncharacterized. The record is from RefSeq and is a predicted model, not a curated record. NCBI's taxonomy places the organism in Eukaryota, Viridiplantae, Streptophyta, Magnoliopsida, Magnoliales, Magnoliaceae. The transcript is spliced from 3 exons.